Manis javanica (Malayan pangolin) is the source of this 3676-nucleotide non-coding RNA. The record is from RefSeq and is a predicted model, not a curated record. Lineage: Eukaryota; Metazoa; Chordata; Mammalia; Pholidota; Manidae.
GCGUGGAGGCGCAGGCCUGGCAGCGAUGCGGAGUGGGAAAGGGACCUGAGCAGGCACACACCUUGUGCCCCGGCCCUGCGCCGUCUGCAGGCCGCUCCUGCGCCCCCAGAAGGUGCCAGCAUUUACAGUAUUCCAGAAGCUUCUGUGCGGACUCUCUGUUGACCUUCAGAUCCUCCCUGAAAGGCGGGUGUCCUGUCCCCCUGCUUUUACGAGGAGAAUCGGGGCUCAGAGGGUGAGCCAACUUGUUCAAGAUCACGUGGCUGGGGGCAGGCUGGGAGGGGCCAGUGGUGUGGCCCCCACUCAGGCCCCUGCUGCCUCCUAGCCCCUCGCUGUAGACAGCCGAGCAUGCCUGCCUGGGUGCUAUCCCACUCCAGCCCAGAGAGGCUUCUCAUCAGGGGAGAGAACCAGCGCCUGCCAGGCCCCCCUUCUGGGUGUCCUCAGGGAGGCGGGAAAGGCUGUGACACUCCUGCAUGUGAGCAGCUAGCAAACCAGCCCUAGUGGGCUCCCAGGCUGCCCCUCGUUCACCACCACAAGGACCCAGCCAUGUGGGGCUGGCCGGGCACUGGCUGGAGGAAGGUCCCUUUGUGGCGGGGAUGGGCUGGGCUGGCCAACAGGGCAUGGCAGCUCGUGGGACUGCAGAGAUCUCACCCUGGGGCUAGGGUCCUGCAGACCUAAAUCUUUCAUUUAACUUAAUUAGCCCUCGCUUCAAUAAGCCAAUGUGAUCAGUGGCUACAGUGGGGCUGUGGCGGGAGAGAAGGUAGAAUCAAACAGCAUGUGCACAGGGCCACACAGCCAGGGCUCCAGAGCGGCCUGGGGGAGCUGUAGGUCAGAGGUCAGGGAAGGCCUCUUGGGGUGGAACAGGGCCCAAGUGAUGUUGGAGGAGCAGCAAGCGAACGUCAGGGGAGGAGCGUGAGGUCAGGGUGGGAGCACACAGUCCAGCUCAGGGCAGCAAGGAGGCCAGAGGGCUGCAGCAAGGGCCGAGCUGCGGGGGCGGGGCCGUGCCGGUGGGAAUCCUGCAGAGGUUGCGGGCCUGGAGGAGGCCAGGCUGGGUGCCAGGAUGGACUGCCCUGGGGGUUUGCCCAAGACCUGCGGGCCCAGCAGGGGAAGGGGAGUGGGUGAGGUGGACCCCAGGGGAAGAGGAUGUCCCUCCCUCAAAUGACAAGGAGGCGGGCCACUGGGGGGACCUUCAGCCCAUGGGAGAAGGACCCUCCCAGUGCAUGGCGUGGAAAAUGGCUCGACCUCGACCUCGCUGGAGUGGGGAACCUAGGGGCCGCGCUGAAGGACUUCCCUGCUCACAGCCUGUUGCAAAUCCCAGAGGGGCACCCCCAGGGAUUGGCCUGGGGGAGCAGCUUCCAGUGAGGGGGCUCUGGAAUUCAGGUAAGUGGAGGCACUUGUGGUUUCUGGGUCACAGGGCCCCUUACCGGGAGCUGGGGCAGGGCGGAGCAGCCCCUGGCAGCAAUUUCCUGGAAGCAAGACAGUAAUGGAGCCCAGAGCGCGCCCCCAGGGAGCAGUGGCUUCUGCCUGAGAGCAUUUCCUGCAGGAUGGUCCCUGGGGGCUCAGGGUGGGGGAGGGUCCGCACACAUCUUCCAGCCUGGGAGGGGAGGGGCUGCAGUGCCCAGGAAGGCCUGCAGCAGCCGGUUCCAGCCGCCGAGUGACCCCUCAGGAGUCUGAGCCCAGCGUCCUGGUGAAGGAGGGAGGCCCCCGGAAGCCCUGGGCCUGGGUGCCACUGUGGCAGUGAGGGGUGACUCCCUGCUCCUCCUCUGUAAAGCGGGCCAUGGCCCUUCCUGGGUGGGGAUUGAGGCCUCAGCCAGGGGGCCACUGCUGCACAUUUUCAGGGACAGCCCCAGGCAGGCUCACUCAUCCCCAGGUCUUUAACCACACAGAGCAACCAGUGAAUGUGUGAAUGGCUUAAUCAACCCGCUGAUUGAUCCACCCGCCAUUGCCAUUGCGCAGCUGGCAGCCCAUGGUAGGUGGGGGAGUAUGGCUGGAAUCACGCCGGUGAGUGUCCAGUUUUGGGGAUGUGAAGGAGGCUGGGGUCUUAUUUGGAGGGGGAGGGUCAAGGCAGGGCCAGUGCCCUUGGGAGUCGCCCCGCAUGCCAGAGGGUGCCCGCCUCCCCAGAAGGACCCGGAGCUGUUUUGGAGCAUGUCCCACAGUCAGUAGUGGCCCCUCUGACCAGAAGACCCGGCUCUCCAUCGCUUCGCUCUUCCACAAAUCCUUACAUAAAACAAAACAAAUCGAAGUUUUAGUUUUACAUUUGGCUGUGCCAGCGUGAUCUCGGCAACGGCCUCUCUGCUGAGAAGCACCCUGCUCACCAAAGAAAACAGCGGCAAAGGGCUCACACAGAUACUUCAACAAGGACACAGAGGUGGCCAGAGGCCCCUGAGAAGAUGCCCAGUGUCACUCACCAUCCGGAGACCCAAACUGCAGUGAGACACCACCUCACACCCACCAGGGUGCUUGUGAAAAACAAAGGCCCAAAACAGGAAAGUCCCAAGUGUUGGCGAGGCUGCGGUGAAAUCAGUGAGAAUGUGCAAUGGCGAAGCUGCUGCGGAAGGAAGCAAGGACAGGCGCUCAAGCUCCGGUGCUCAGGCACACAGGGCCCCUAAGCACUGUCUGUGAGGAGUGGGUAAACCCGUACGGAAAGUGGUAUUUGGCCCCAAGAGGUUGGAACACGCAGGCACACGCCACGACCUGGAUGAAUGGGAACCACGGUGCCGCGUGAGCACAGACACAGAGGGCCACGCGUGUGAAGCCACCUGCGUGCAGUCCACAGAGACAGAGCACACGGUGGCUGCUGGGGCCUGGGGGACACUGACCACUUAAUGGAACCUGGCCUCCUUUGGGGGGAGAUGUUCUGGAACUGGAGAGAGGUGGGGGCCACACCACAUCGUAAAUGUGCCAAAUACCACUGAAUCAUGCACCUAACGGUGGCUGAUUUCAUGUCACGCGAAUUUCACCUUAAUUAAGACAACAAAAGAAAGGUCAGUGGAGCUCAGGGCCCAGCCCCUCUCCCUGUUGAGCCUCAGCACAUGGAUUCAGGGCCGCCCAGGCCCUGGGCACAGGCUCUCCCAGCUGUGAGGGCCACACCCCUGCUCUCUGGGGGACGGCCACUGACUUGACCCCAACGGCACCUCCUCCCAAACCCUGACACCCACUCCCUUCGAGCAGGCCAGGAGGUGGCUGGGCUGAGGCUGGCCGUCCCAGAACCACAGACUUGUUGGGGUGCUGUAAGGGACCUCCGCCACCCAACCCUGUCUGCUGCUGAAAAAUCCCCCAAAGAGGUUCAUGCGCUAACCGCGGAACCUGAGGGUCACCUUACGUGGCUAAAGGGAUGUACAGAGGUGUUGGAGGCAAGCACCUUGACCCUGGGUGGUCCAGCUGGGCCUAUAUGGAAUCACAGGGUCUUAGGGGGAGGCAGGAGGCCAGAGGCCGAGGAGCAAGGCAGGAUGGAGCCGGGGUGGGAGAGAGGCUGGAAGCCGCUAGGUUGCAGCUCUGAAGAUGGGGAGGGGCUGAGCACAGGCGCCUCGAGGAGCUGGGAAAGGCCAGAAAAGACUCUCACGGAGCCUCGGAGAAGCCAGCCCUGCCCACGCCUGGAUUUUAGACUUCUCAGCUCCAGAACUGGAGAGAAUAAAUUUGUGGUUUUUUUAAGCCACUGAUUGUGCGAACAUUUGUUACA